UACAGAGGUCGCAAGCGUUGUUCGGAUUCACUGGGCGUAAAGGGUGCGUAGGCGGUCGGGUAAGUCUGAUGUGAAAUCUCACAGCUUAACUGUGAAACUGCAUUGGAUACUAUCCGGCUCGAGGAAUGGAGGGGAGACUGGAAUACUUGGUGUAGCAGUGAAAUGCGUAGAUAUCAAGUGGAACACCAGUGGCGAAGGCGAGUCUCUGGACAUUUCCUGACGCUGAGGCACGAAAGCCAGGGGAGCAAACGGG
RNAcentral lists this ribosomal RNA (253 nucleotides) under uncultured bacterium. RNAcentral describes it as "partial 16S ribosomal RNA". It matches the Rfam family "Bacterial small subunit ribosomal RNA", at positions 524 to 776 of the family's 1533-position model. The record is from RNAcentral.